Molecule: long non-coding RNA, 743 nt
Filed under: Equus asinus (donkey)
Lineage: Eukaryota; Metazoa; Chordata; Mammalia; Perissodactyla; Equidae
Description: lncRNA (ENSEASG00005030617.1)
Source: RNAcentral
UGCCGCCCGCCAUUUUGGCUUCAUCCUGCCGAGUUCCGCCUCGGCUCCUAGAGGACCCUCCGUGUCCUACUACCGCUGGAAGUGGGUCUCCCCGGUCCCAAACGAGGUUCUUCGUGGAGGCUCCGAGAAUCGCUUUGCCAACAUAACAUUCCUUGAGUUGUUUCAGGGUCUAGUCCUUUUCUGUAAUCCUGGUGCUGAGAGCCAGACUCCAGAAUGUGGUGCCCAUCCCAAAGUAUUGCUGCUCGUGGAUGCCUGACUAGAACAUUGUCCAGCAACUAGAAUGGCCCCGUUCCUUCAUUACUUUCUCACAUCCUGACCCACAAUUUCACUAACUGGGGGAGAAGAGUGUGCAAUGUUAAGAACUCCUGGCUCCAAUUACUAGCUGCAUGACCUCAAGCAAAGUAUUCCUCAGCUAUAAAGUGGGGAUAACACACGACAUACCUUUCUGAAAGGUUUCUGGCUGCUUGAUGUAUGCCUACUUACAACUUACCAUAAAAGGAGCCUCAUGUAUACUUCCAACAGUCCCCCAACCCCUUAUGCCAAAAGCAAAUAAAAACAGUCCAGUUGAAAGCAAUGUGUGAGCUGAUAAGACUAUUUACAGCACUGUGUGAAGAGGAGUGAAAGCAUCUUGCUGUUUUUCCUUUAAGGCUUAUUUGGAGUAUGUAUAUCUUAAUAGAGUCAAACACACCACAUACUAAAACUUUUUUAUGCUUAAAAAAGUUAAUAGCGUGUCUAAAUUAUCC